RNAcentral lists this ribosomal RNA (490 nucleotides) under uncultured bacterium. RNAcentral describes it as "partial 16S ribosomal RNA". It matches the Rfam family "Bacterial small subunit ribosomal RNA", at positions 30 to 507 of the family's 1533-position model. The record is from RNAcentral.
AUUGAACGCUGGCGGCAGGCCUAACACAUGCACGUCGAACGGUAACAGGAAGAAGCUUGCUUCUUUGCUGACGAGUGGCGGACGGGUGAGUAAUGUCUGGGAAACUGCCUGAUGGAGGGGGAUAACUACUGGAAACGGUAGCUAAUACCGCAUAACGUCGCAAGACCAAAGAGGGGGACCUUCGGGCCUCUUGCCAUCGGAUGUGCCCAGAUGGGAUUAGCUAGUAGGUGGGGUAACGGCUCACCUAGGCGACGAUCCCUAGCUGGUCUGAGAGGAUGACCAGCCACACUGGAACUGAGACACGGUCCAGACUCCUACGGGAGGCAGCAGUGGGGAAUAUUGCACAAUGGGCGCAAGCCUGAUGCAGCCAUGCCGCGUGUAUGAAGAAGGCCUUCGGGUUGUAAAGUACUUUCAGCGGGGAGGAAGGGAGUAAAGUUAAUACCUUUACUCAUUGACGUUACCUGCAGAAGAAGCACCGGCUAACUCCGUG